AGUCGUUGUUUGCGGGCGUAGCAUCAUCAAGAUUCACGCACAUGCAAUUAACUUGAAAGUUUCUCUCUUUGCCAAAGUUUCUUUCAAAGUGAGAAUCUUGAUGAUGCUGCAUCGGCAAUAAACCACU
This 127-nucleotide microRNA precursor is filed under the name Prunus persica (peach). RNAcentral's name for it is "miR172a stem-loop (ppe-MIR172a)". Its record names the gene ppe-MIR172a. It matches the Rfam family "mir-172 microRNA precursor family". From Rfam's summary of the family: mir-172 has been experimentally verified in Arabidopsis thaliana. This family is thought to target mRNAs coding for APETALA2-like transcription factors. The record is from miRBase by way of RNAcentral. Lineage: Eukaryota; Viridiplantae; Streptophyta; Magnoliopsida; Rosales; Rosaceae.